AUUGAACGCUGGCGGCAGGCCUAACACAUGCAAGUCGAGCGGAGCGGCGGACGCGUGAGUAAUGCCAAGGAAUCUGCCUGGUAGUGGGGGAUAACGUCCGGAAACGGGCGCUAAUACCGCAUACUAUCAGAUUAGCCAAGGUCGGAUUCGCGAGUUGGUGGGGUAAAGGCCUACAAGGGCGACGAUCCGUAACUGGUCUGCGAGGAUGAUCAGGCAAACUGGAACUGGGACACGGUCCAGACUCCUACGGGAGGCAGCAGUGGGGAAUAUUGGACAAUGGGCGAAAGCCUGAUCCAGCCAUGCCGCGUGUGUGAAGAAGGUCUUCGGGUUGUAAAGCACUUUAAGUUGGGAGGCGUUACCAACAGAAUAAGCACCGGCUAACUACGUGCCAGCAGCCGCGGUAAUUC
This 407-nucleotide ribosomal RNA is filed under the name uncultured bacterium. Its description in RNAcentral is "partial 16S ribosomal RNA". It matches the Rfam family "Bacterial small subunit ribosomal RNA", at positions 30 to 526 of the family's 1533-position model. The record is from RNAcentral.